CUCAGAUGUCAGUUAGAAAAAAAACAAAACAGAUUUGUCAACAAUGAUCUCAAAGCUGCCCAUUUGAGGAAGGGCAGGUGCUGCCCUUAGUAGAUACUGGAGGACGUAUUGAAUCUGAGAGGCUGGCCUGUGAGUGACAGGCUUGGGGCUGCUUACUUCAUAGAAACCUGGGCCUCAAUGAUCUCAUCUGUGUGAUGAGGCGAGAGGGUCUGAGGAUCAUCAACAUCCCCCAGCUUUGUUACCCUGAGACUGUGAAACGAGGUGAAAACCUGCAGAACGGGAAGACGAUCUGUAGCCAAGGACAUGGACAUAUCCCCCCCCAGUCGCUGCCUUGUUCUUGACAAAGUCCCUGGAAGCGCUCCUCCCUGGGAGUUCAAGACCUGGCCGUGUGUAGCUCUUACCCAGGAAAGCACCUUCUUGCUCAUUGUAUUUUUUCAGACCAUGGAAUGUCAGUGUAUGAAUGAGUUGGGAUUUAUAUCUGUAGGCUUGGCUGCUGUUUGGAACUCGCUUGGAUUUUGAGAUAUAAAUUACACUUGUGUGUUCUGGUCCAGGACACGUGUUAUUUAUUGUUUGAGCUUGAGGAUCACAGAGGAUCAGAUCUGGGGGACAUAGAGUGUCUGUUUCAAGGCUCUAUAUUUUGCCUGUUCCUUAUCCUCUCACACUGGUUUCAGUUGUUUUGAAAUAGAGCACCAUAAAUAUGAGUGUGACGCCUGGGGGAGCUGCCCUUGUCCUUGCCUUCCUCCUGGGCGCUGGGUUUACUGUGCCCACGAGGGGUGGGGGCAGGGGGGAGGAGAGAGCUGGAACUGGCUCUUACACACCCUAGGUCUGACCGUGACACCGUACCAAGCUCUCUACACAGGCUGCCAGACCUCUGUUACCUCUUUUUCUAUGGAAGGAAACAGAGACAGUUAUACAUUUGGGAUUACCUUUGACAAUGCCUUAAAUGACCCAUAAGGUACAAAGUGUAGAGACUGCUGGAUACAGACAGCCCUGUACAAAAAUGUGUCCUAUAAAUGAAUGAUGCUCAGAGCAGUGCAGGCAUGUUGUGAACAUAAAUGCGGGGAGCAUUCUGACAGUAUUGUGAUAAUGUAAAAGAGAGCAAAAGAACACUUCACACCCACUUGAAUGGCUAUUACUAAAAAAUAAAAAAAUAAAAAGGAAAAUAAUAGGCAUAGGCUGUAUGCAGAGAAAUCUGAACCCUUGUGCACUGCUGAUGGGAAUGGAAAAUAGUGCUGCCACUUUGGAAAAGAGAGCUCCCUCAAAAAGCCAAACACAGAAUUACUGUAUCAUGCAACGAUUCCUUUUCUAGGUGAAGCUAAGUGAAAUCUUAGACAUGAAAGGGCAAAUUCUAGGAUUGAUUCCACUCUCAUGAGGUCCUACAACAAACAAAUUCAUAGAGACAGUUAAAUAGAGGUUGCUGGGUUGCAAGAAGGAGUGUGGAGUUGUUUAAUGGUUUCAGUUUCUGUGGGAUGAUGAAAACAUUCUGGGGAUGGAUGGUGCUGAUGGUUGUACAACACUGUGAAUGUACUUGAUGCUAUGUAAAAAUGUUUACAGCGGUGAGUUUUGUAUAUAUUGAUCACAGCAAAAAGAGCCAGAGCAACAGGUUGAAGUUGCAUCACUUGCCCUGCCUCUUCUUGGGGGGCGUGGACCCCAGCACAUCCCACCUCUGCUUCAGCAUGGCCCUACUGGGGAGACAUCAGUCCCAUUUUAGAGAUUUCCUGUGCCGCUCAUGGGCCUGGGAACUGUGCAGUCACCCAGACCCAGAGAAGUCUUCCAGCUUCAGGCAGACAGCAAGGAAGAAAACAUCCCUGGACCAUCAUUGAGCCUUUCUGGCUCCUGGACCCUGGCAUCAGAGCAAACCUGCAUUUUACAAGACUUUCCUCGCUUUGGCCUUAAACCUGCAAAUCUAGGGAGAGAAACCGUGGAUUCACAUGGACUUGGAGGCCAGAGCAAGUAGUAGUGCCCACAGGGAAGCAGGACCCCGAGAUCAGCUGAGAGAGUAACCAGGGACAGGAGAGGAUGCAAACAGCUAAGUCUUGGAGCACGAGGCUGUCUUCGGUCCUCGGCAAGGAGAGCUGAAGCUCUGGGAACUAGAGCCAGGAGCAGUCACCCUGGUGGUCAUGCACUCACUGGGGGUGGCUAUUUGAGUAAAGCCUUUCCACCUGGAAGAUGACCAUGACCUGCAGUGGGCAGGGCAACAGCAGCAGAAGCAGCAGCAGCAACAACAACAAACAGCAAGACCACGUCACAGGUCCUUGAAGUUACUUGAUCAAGCACUCCCUUAAUAUGAGCAAACUGGGACCUAGCCAUCACAACUUCCACUCUGGAGUGGGUAAAAUGUUACCAUAAAGUGGCAGAGAUGGAGGUCACUGCAGUCCAGUCUCACCACAUGCAAGAGCUGGGGAGCUUUCCAUUGUACCCCAUCUCUGCCCUCUGGGCAUCAAGGAUGUAGCCUUUGUCUCAAGGAACUGAUAGUAAAGUCCCCAGAAGGCAGUGUGGUGGAGUGGGGAUGGUGCCCGCCCGAGGAGCUGCCAGCCUGCCUUGACGCCUCCCUACCCAGACUCCGGAGCCAUGCAGACUGCACAGUGUUUAAGCUUCAGUGUCUUCCUAUGGAACACUCUGUAAUGACCUAUUGGGAAUAGACUCUAGAAGAGAGGACAUGUGUGUAACUGACUCACUUUGCUAUAUGGCAGAAACUAACACAAUAUGCCCUGGAGAAGGGAAGUCCUGCACUUCGCAGAGAAGAGGGAAAUGGACCUCAGAAGGGAGAUAUGGCUGCCUGUGACCACGCAGCUUCAAGAAGAGACGUCUCUGCUGGCUCAUGAGUUUAUUCUUUGGAUAAACCUAGGAUGUUUAUCUAGGACCAAGAAGCAACAGAAAAGGCAUUAGUGGUUAUGAACCCACCUGCCAAUGCAGGAGACACAAGAGA
Non-coding RNA from Odocoileus virginianus texanus, 2929 nucleotides. Lineage: Eukaryota; Metazoa; Chordata; Mammalia; Artiodactyla; Cervidae. The record is from RefSeq and is a predicted model, not a curated record.